UUUUAAUCAAAGAGAUGGACAUGAGGAGAUGCAAGAGGAAGAACAUGGAGAUUGGGAGGCGGUGGUCUUCCUCUCCACAAUCUUGCUAACUUGAAGUCAAAUAACGGUCACAAAAAUGCUUUCAUAAGAGACUCUUACUACAUAGUUGUUAGCUACUCUUUUCUGAUGCGAGGAUUGGGAGGAACCCUUGCUUUAAGAUGAUGAUAUGAUUGCUACAGUGUGUAUGUAGUAAUUUUUUAUGUAUCUAAUAUGUGUAUGUAGUAUGUAAGAUGAUUAGAAGAAAGUAGAGCAUAUCCUAAUUAGU
RNAcentral lists this long non-coding RNA (304 nucleotides) under Brassica napus (rape). RNAcentral's name for it is "long non-coding RNA (BNAP_LNC026158)". The record is from RNAcentral. Lineage: Eukaryota; Viridiplantae; Streptophyta; Magnoliopsida; Brassicales; Brassicaceae.